AUUGAACGCUGGCGGCAUGCUUUACACAUGCAAGUCGAACGGCAGCACGGGUGCUUGCACCUGGUGGCGAGUGGCGAACGGGUGAGUAAUGCAUCGGAACGUGCCCAUGAGUGGGGGAUAGCCCGGCGAAAGCCGGAUUAAUACCGCAUACGCCCUUAGGGGGAAANCGGGGGAUCUUCGGACCUCGCGCUAUUGGAGCGGCCGAUGUCGGAUUAGCUAGUAGGUGAGGUAAAGGCUCACCUAGGCGACGAUCCGUAGCUGGUCUGAGAGGAUGAUCAGCCACACUGGGACUGAGACACGGCCCAGACUCCUACGGGAGGCAGCAGUGGGGAAUUUUGGACAAUGGGCGCAAGCCUGAUCCAGCCAUGCCGCGUGAGUGAAGAAGGCCUCGG
RNAcentral lists this ribosomal RNA (392 nucleotides) under uncultured bacterium. RNAcentral describes it as "bacterial SSU rRNA". It matches the Rfam family "Bacterial small subunit ribosomal RNA", at positions 28 to 420 of the family's 1533-position model. The record is from RNAcentral.